Molecule: transfer RNA, 76 nt
Filed under: Actinomycetes bacterium
Lineage: Bacteria; Bacillati; Actinomycetota; Actinomycetes
Also listed under: 1 other name
Description: tRNA-Arg
Rfam family: tRNA
About the family: Transfer RNA (tRNA) molecules are approximately 80 nucleotides in length.
Source: RNAcentral
GUCCUGUUAGCUCAGUGAAUAGAGCAGUAGACUUCUAAUCUACAGGUCACUGGUUUGAAUCCAGUACGGGAUACCA